UUUUUUGGCCCUCAGACCUCCCACCCUUUGUGAACGUACCUUGAGUUGCUUUGGCGGGGCGUGGCCAGAAAUGGUCCCGCUGGUCCCCUUCGCCCGGGGCUAGCGUGCCCCCGCCAGAGAAUCAUAAGAAUCUUGCUUUAACAAAACCGUGUCUGAAGAAAUAUACUAUUGAAAUAGCGAAAAAACUUUCAACAACGGAUCUCUUGGUUCUGGCAUCGAUGAAGAACGCAGCGAAAUGCGAUAAGUAAUGUGAAUUGCAGAAUUCAGUGAAUCAUCGAAUCUUUGAACGCACAUUGCGCCCCCUGGUAUUCCGGCGGGCAUGCCUAUUCGAGCGUCAUUUCUAUCCUCAAGCUCCGCUUGGUAUUGGGAGGCAAGCCUCAUCCCCUCGGGGAGAGGCUCCCCCGAAAAUUAGCGGCGGAUCGGCCGGGGUCCCAGCGCAGUGACUUUAUUUUCUCGCUGAUUGGAUCCCCGGGCGGCUCCUGCCGGGCUAAAAACCAUUAUUUCUUUCAAGAUUGACCUCGGAUUAGGUAGGGAUACCCGCUGAACUUAAGCAUAUCAAUAAGCGGAGGA
RNAcentral lists this ribosomal RNA (570 nucleotides) under uncultured fungus. Its description in RNAcentral is "eukaryotic LSU rRNA". The stretch from base 184 to 337 matches the Rfam family "5.8S ribosomal RNA". The record is from RNAcentral. Lineage: Eukaryota; Fungi.